CUUACUCAAUUUUAAAUUUAUAAUUUAUAAUUUGUCAGCGAAUUAUAAAAAUAGAGACACUAUGUAUUAACAUGUCUCACCAUAAAAUAGGGAAUACAAACUAACUUUAAUUUAUAAUAAUAAUUUUUUUUCCAGUGAAUAUCCGAGCAUUGCUCAAGCAAAGAAAUACGAAGUAGUAAGUAGUAUAAUAAGUUUCCCUAAAAAAAAAAAAAAGUACGGACUAGUAUAAUAAGUUGUUGCCUCCAAAUAACACAAUAACCAAUUACUUCGUAUAUAACUUCUUAAUUCCUUAUUCACGGCAAACUUGAUACUCUUCUUCCUCACCAAAAAAAAAUAACAAAAAACGAAGGCCAAGUUCAAUUCAGAACAUCAGAUCAAACUGUCGCAGUCGUCUUCAUCUGCCGCCGCUGCGCCAUCUAUCUCUUCCCCGGUUAGUUACGCAUGCUUCCUUUUCCUACCGUCCAUUCCAUCUUUCUCAUAUUGCAAUUUGCUAAUUGCGAUUUAGGGGUAUCAUUGAGUAUUUUAUCCAAAUUUUGAUUUUAGUUUAGUUUCGUUUGCGAAUUGCGAACUGAUUUUAAAUUACGAAUUGAAUGAGUAGUGAAUUGAUUUUAACCUGGUUUAUUGAGAACUGAUUGAAUUGAUUUUAAUCUGGCUGCCAAUUGCGAGGUUCAUUUUUGGAAGUCAAUUAAUGUAAAACCAUUCAAACAUGAUUGAUUAUGCAAAAAGCCCUAAUUAUUUUCAAUUUCUCUAUGAUUUACUAUAUACUUUGCAUUUAAACUGUCAGUUGCUUUGCAAAUUAGGCAAUAUAAGAUUUUGUGUAUACUGUAUAUUGAUGGGUGAAUGGAAAGUGGCGUCAAGGAGUUUGAACUGCAACCCCAAUGAAACCCUGAAACCAUGCUAGCUAUUGUAAUGUGUGCUAUUUUGUUUACUUCCUCAAAAAUGUCAUGGGUGCAUCAUUUAUGUUUGUGUCAGAUGGAAUUGGAAAACCUUUCAAAUUCAAUACCUCUUUGAAGUGUCUGUGUUUCUCCUUGGUUCUGCUAAUGACUGAUUUCAUUGGCCAGACUUUGAACUUGUCUUUUCUACUAGGGAGAUUUGGCCCUGUAUUACUGAUUGAAAAUGACUGAAGUCUAUGUUACAUAAUGGUAACAAUAUAAGCAAUUGGAUGUGGUUUUGUAGUUUCUUUCUAGGCUUAAGUCAAUUAUUUGCCUGUCUAUGCUCCCGGGCUUCUGAAAAAUGAAGUAUGUACAACUUCUUAUUUAUUGAUCAAUUUCACUUGUUCUUUGAGAAUAUGUUUGCAAACAAGGCUUUCUUCUCCCCAGAGAUAUUGCUUUGCUUCUCCAUCCUGUGCAGUUUCUGGGCUACAACCUCAGAGUUCAAGAAGUUUUCCCAUUAUUGGAUGUCAUGUAUACUCCAUCAAGCCUUUACAAGCAAGUUUCAAGUUUACAAUGUGUAUUUUCCUUGCUUUGUCUGUGAAUUGAAAUUUUUUGAUUUGUUGUUGCUUAUUUUCACUUAUAUGGCCCAAAAAAAUGAAGCUUUAUCCUAUUUAUUUCAUACUCCAUACUAAGGUUAAAUGCUUAACAUUUGUUUGUGCAUUCUUUGUCUUCCCUGCGCAGAAACUUCCAAAGGGGCUGUCAAUCCUAUCAUGCUGUCAUAGUUGGACUAGGUAUGGUAUGACACUUAGCCUGAUAGGAUAACACAUAUGUGCAUUACAUUUACCCCUCUCCAGUCUCUAAAACAAUGAUACAUACUAGUAAAUUGAUCUUUGUAAAGAUAUAUAUCUUCAUAGACCUUAAUUUGACUAUAAUUGCCCCAAAUUAAGCUUUCUAAGUCAUCAAUUAUUGUAAGGGGCUCACAAACAGAAAGUCCCAUUAGAAGACCUGCUGCUUCUUCUCCUGCUUCUCUUCAGCCACCUUCGUCACCUCCUCUGCCUCUGAAGCUGGUCUCAGGUUCUAAAGUAAACACUCAUCUUUAUGUGGGUACUCCCUUUGAAGCAUAUUAGUCACUUCAGAUCAGAAAUUGUUAUUGAAAUUGAUGUGGAUUAAAGCCUUAAACGAUUCUCCUUGUUUACCAUUAAAAUAGAAUGCAUAAGAUCUUAUAGUUUGAUACAAUUUGUUUAUGGAGUAUGAUGAUGCUUUUUGAUACAAAAGUUGUAAUAUAUGCUCAGCGACAUGCAAUAAUAGUAAAUUACAAGUAUCACUAACAUAAAUGAACAUGGAACUACAAGUUUUUGAUAGACAAUGUGUUUAGCUUAUUUGUUUGAUAUAUGAUAAUAUUUUAAAAUUUGUGGAUCAUGUUUGUGAGCUUACUUUUUUUUUUUUUUUUUUUUUAUAAUUUUUAUCAUGUGUUAUUAUUUGUAAAUUAAUUAUUGAGCUUAUGAUCUUUCUAGUUCUUUGGAAAUGAAAUCCUUCAUGAAAAAUUCAAAAAUUGGUCGGGGCGGUAAUCAAGGCGGUGUUCGAGACAUUACUCAAUUGGUUGAUCAAUCUUGUGGUCACACAACCCACACCGCCACCACUAAUGAAUAGGUACAAGUAAAUUCUAAUGCUUAUGUUGUUGUUGAAGACAAUGUGGCACCACAAAAUUUGAAUGGAGUGGAACAAGGAAAGGUUGAACUCUCACCACAUGGGUUAUGGGAGAAUAUAUGAAAAAACUUGAGGAAUAUAAGAACAAAGGAUUUGAAAUAAACCCCGACAAAAGUCUACUUGGAGGUUGUAGGUGGGCAAAAGAAAGGAAAAGUCUACGAUUUAGGGAGUGCUUCACUAAUGUACUACAUGAGUGAUCCUACUUCUCAACUUACUGCAUCAUCUUCCACUCCUUCCAUGAUUUCUCAACUAAGCUCCCAAGCUAAAGAAAAAGAAGAUGGCGGACGAAAAACCAUAACAAGGUAGAAGAAAGCCAAAAAAAAAAAAAAAAACGAUAGAGAGCUUAAAAUAUGCUAAGGAAUUUGUCGAAAAUCAUGAGAUCGAAAAGGCUACAUGGAAGAAAG
This is a long non-coding RNA of Chenopodium quinoa (quinoa), 2983 nucleotides long. RefSeq lists it as uncharacterized. The record is from RefSeq and is a predicted model, not a curated record. The transcript is spliced from 2 exons. NCBI's taxonomy places the organism in Eukaryota, Viridiplantae, Streptophyta, Magnoliopsida, Caryophyllales, Amaranthaceae.